GGGCUCGUAGUCGAAUGGCAAGACGCUACCCUGACAUGGUAGAGACCAGGGGUUCGAUUCCCUUCGGGCCCA
This 72-nucleotide transfer RNA is filed under the name Microcaldota archaeon. Its description in RNAcentral is "tRNA-Val". It matches the Rfam family "tRNA". Rfam says of the family: Transfer RNA (tRNA) molecules are approximately 80 nucleotides in length. Their secondary structure includes four short double-helical elements and three loops (D, anti-codon, and T loops). Further hydrogen bonds mediate the characteristic L-shaped molecular structure. tRNAs have two regions of fundamental functional importance: the anti-codon, which is responsible for specific mRNA codon recognition, and the 3' end, to which the tRNAs corresponding amino acid is attached (by aminoacyl-tRNA synthetases). tRNAs cope with the degeneracy of the genetic code in two manners: having more than one tRNA (with a specific anti-codon) for a particular amino acid; and 'wobble' base-pairing, i.e. permitting non-standard base-pairing at the 3rd anti-codon position. The record is from RNAcentral. Lineage: Archaea; Nanobdellati; Microcaldota.